UCUGAGGCUACGCAGGACUCUGACAGAAGAAUACGGCCAGGGGACUUACUGAGAGGUCCACAACUGUCUUGAUGGCCUUUUCUUUUCUCUUUAUGAAGUCAUCAUCCUACAAGACAAAACAGAGCGAUUAAACAAAUCCCAAGGGAAAAUUAAAACUCAAGUGGACCACUCAGAUAUGUCUUAUAAAUUGACUUCUCAUCUCAUCACUACUUUGCCUGACGAAGUCUCAAUUUUCGAACAAAUUGUAAUAUAUUCUCCAUGGGAAAAGGCUACAAACCCUGCAGAUGGCUCCAACAUAGAUCCCUACACAGCCAGUAAGAAAAAGGGGGUCAUAAGGAAUAGUGCUUAAGACGAGAGUUCUCAUUUCAAAUCCUCUUAAGCACUGAAACCUCAGCUCGUUUCACCAGCCACUGGGGAAGAAAGUGAAAAGACAAGAGUUGCUAAGGACAACAUCCCACUGAAGUGAAGGCCAGUUCAGACAUGGCCCAACUCAUGAACUCAAAUCAGCAUAGUUGAACUGACUAGGUGAUAAGAAGCUAUCAACACAUGCUGUUCUAUAGGAAAAGCAACCAGCUGGGUAUCCAAGAUGUUAAGAUCCAAUGGGACCUAGUGCUGAGUAGCCGUGCAGGAGCUUUAAAGCCUUACUUCACAUCCUUGAGCCUCAGUUUUCCUUUCUGUAAAAGUAUAUCAGUUCCCUUCACCUCACAGAGCUAACAUGGGAGUAAAUGAAAUCACAAGUAGUAGAGUGAUUUGUAAACACCUGAAGCACAAAACAAACAGAGCUAUCUCCCAACUUCCUGGUCCUACUGGCAGAUCUUCAUGUAAAUCUCUUUUUCUUGUGCUCCUUACACGACAGACCAGGGAAAAGGGAGAGAACCACAGAGAAUGCUAGUGUAACUCCCCAUUUGACAAGUGAAAAAAUGUCCAAAAUACUCAGAUUUGACAAUGGUGCAUACUGAGUACGCAGUUGAAGGCACUGGUUUAUCCUGACAUUCAUAACAUUCUCUCUUAAUCCUCACAAUGUCGGAUGGUACUGGCUGAGUUUUACUGAACCUGAAGUGCCGGGAGACUAUAUAACUUACUCAUGGAUCCAUAGCUAGCCAGCUGCAAAGCUGGGAGUCACAACUCAAGAGACUAUUCUACACCGAAGACUGGACAAAUGGUUUCAUGAAAUGUUUCCCAGCUUUGUUAGGCUGAUACCCAGAAACAGCUGCUCUUCACUUCUCCCAACUGAAAACUCCAGUUAUUAUCAUUAAAACACCACCCUGCAGAAGAUCCACCUGCAGAAGAUCCACCCGCCCUGAGGGUAAAAACCUGCAGAAGAUCCACCCGCUCUGAGGGUAAGGGUGUAAAGUGUAAAAAGAACCUUUGCUUCUCCUCCCCGGCUCUUCAUUCACUCCCUUUAUUACUGAAGAACAUCACAGAAGGGGUGCCACUCCCUCUCCAGAGAAAGCUACUGCAUCUCAAAAGCAGUUUUGGGAUAGUAGCUGUGUUUCGCCAACAGCAUAUCACACUUGGUGAGGGUUAGCUACCUAGGAAAGCAGGCACAUGGCACAUAACACUGUGCUGCACGGUGUUCCCGCAGAUGUUUGUUCACAAAGCGCAGCCAGCUCAAGUAAAGCACAUGUUUAGGAAAUAGCUGCUCAGAAUAGAGCAAAUAACUCUGAGGAAUAUUCCUUGCUGUCAGUAUCUUCUAUAUAUUUCUACCACUUCACCCCCAAACAGUGACCUCAGGCAAAGACUAAAAUCCAGAAGCAGA
RNAcentral lists this long non-coding RNA (1759 nucleotides) under Homo sapiens (human). Its description in RNAcentral is "PREDICTED lncRNA (TCONS_00150819)". The record is from RNAcentral. Lineage: Eukaryota; Metazoa; Chordata; Mammalia; Primates; Hominidae.